UACGUAGGGGGCAAGCGUUGUCCGGAAUCAUUGGGCGUAAAGAGCGCGUAGGCGGCCCGAUAAGUCCGCUGUGAAAGUCAAGGGCUUAACCCUUGAAUGCCGGUGGAAACUGUCGGGCUAGAGUCCGGAAGAGGCGAGUGGAAUUCCUGGUGUAGCGGUGAAAUGCGCAGAUAUCAGGGGGAACACCGAUGGCGAAGGCAGCUCGCUGGGACGGUACUGACGCUGAGGCGCGAAAGCGUGGGGAGCAAACAGG
RNAcentral lists this ribosomal RNA (253 nucleotides) under uncultured bacterium. RNAcentral's name for it is "partial 16S ribosomal RNA". It matches the Rfam family "Bacterial small subunit ribosomal RNA", at positions 524 to 776 of the family's 1533-position model. The record is from RNAcentral.